Molecule: non-coding RNA, 226 nt
Filed under: Bacillus sp. (in: firmicutes)
Lineage: Bacteria; Bacillati; Bacillota; Bacilli; Caryophanales; Bacillaceae
Description: Bacillus sp. T-box sequence
Rfam family: T-box leader
About the family: Uncharged tRNA acts as the effector for transcription antitermination of genes in the T-box leader family. T-boxes are found upstream of many aminoacyl-tRNA synthetase genes and some amino acid biosynthetic genes usually in Gram-positive bacteria.
Source: RNAcentral
UAAUUGGCAAUGACAAGGUGAGAGUAGUGUUCAUUUCACUAUUGCAGAGAGCUGGUGUAUGGUGGGAGCCAGUAUAUAAAUGAACAUGAAUUACGGCCUCGAGCUUCUUUUCUGAACGAUUGGCGUCUUGUAACAAGUAAGAAAAGACGGGACAUCCGUUAUCUGUAUAAAGAGGUGGAGUUUUUUUCCACAAUGAGGGUGGUACCGCGAUUCAAUCGUCCCUGCU